ACGGCUCAGUAACACGUGGAUAACCUGCCCUUGGGUCCGGCAUAACCCCGGGAAACUGGGGAUAAUUCCGGAUAACGCACAUAUGCUGGAAUGCUUUAUGCGUAAAAUGGAUUCGUCUGCCCAAGGAUGGGUCUGCGGCCUAUCAGGUAGUAGUGGGUGUAAUGUACCUACUAGCCUACAACGGGUACGGGUUGUGAGAGCAAGAGCCCGGAGAUGGAUUCUGAGACAUGAAUCCAGGCCCUACGGGGCGCAGCAGGCGCGAAAACUUUACAAUGCGGGAAACCGUGAUAAGGGGACACCGAGUGCCAGCAUCAUAUGCUGGCUGUCCAGGUGUGUAAAAUACACCUGUUAGCAAGGGCCGGGCAAGACCGGUGCCAGCCGCCGCGGUAACACCGGCGGCCCGAGUGGUGAUCGUGAUUAUUGGGUCUAAAGGGUCCGUAGCCGGUUUGGUCAGUCCUCCGGGAAAUCUGACGGCUUAACCGUUAGGCUUUCGGGGGAUACUGCCAGGCUUGGAACCGGGAGAGGUAAGAGGUACUACAGGGGUAGGAGUGAAAUCUUGUAAUCCCUGUGGGACCACCUGUGGCGAAGGCGUCUUACCAGAACGGGUUCGACGGUGAGGGACGAAAGCUGGGGGCACGAACCGGAUUAGAUACCCGGGUAGUCCCAGCCGUAAACGAUGCUCGCUAGGUGUCAGGCAUGGCGCGACCGUGUCUGGUGCCGCAGGGAAGCCGUGAAGCGAGCCACCUGGGGAAGUACGGCCGCAAGGCUGAAACUUAAAGGAAUUGGCGGGGGAG
This 794-nucleotide ribosomal RNA is filed under the name uncultured archaeon. Its description in RNAcentral is "bacterial SSU rRNA". It matches the Rfam family "Archaeal small subunit ribosomal RNA", at positions 85 to 876 of the family's 1478-position model. The record is from RNAcentral.